UACGAAGGGUGCAAACGUUGCUCGGAAUUAUUGGGCGUAAAGCGCACGUAGGCGGCUUUGCAAGUCGGAUGUGAAAUCCCUCGGCUUAACCAAGGAAGUGCAUCCGAAACUGCAGAGCUUGAGUACUUAAGAGGAUCGCGGAAUUCCCGGUGUAGAGGUGAAAUUCGUAGAUAUCGGGAGGAACACCAGUGGCGAAGGCGGCGAUCUGGGCCGAUACUGACGCUGAGGAGCGAAAGCGUGGGAGCGAACAGG
This 252-nucleotide ribosomal RNA is filed under the name uncultured bacterium. RNAcentral's name for it is "partial 16S ribosomal RNA". It matches the Rfam family "Bacterial small subunit ribosomal RNA", at positions 524 to 776 of the family's 1533-position model. The record is from RNAcentral.